GACGGGGGAUGCAAGCGUUAUUCGGAAUUAUUGGGCGUAAAGCGUCUGUAGGUGGUGGAAAAAGUGUCGUGUUAAAGAUCAAGGCUUAACCUUGGACCAGCAUGGCAAACUAAUUCACUUGAGUUCGGUAGGGGCAGAGAGAAUUCCCAGUGUAGCGGUGAAAUGCGUAGAUAUUGGGAGGAAGACCGGUGGCGAAGGCGUUCUGCUGGGCCGUAACUGACACUCAGAGACGAAAGCUAAGGGAGCAAAUAGGAUUAGAUACCCUAGUAGUCUUAGCUGUAAACGAUGCACACUAUGCUUUUAACAGAGCAAAAGCUAACGCGUUAAGUGUGCCGCCUGGGGAGUACACUCGCAAGGGUG
RNAcentral lists this ribosomal RNA (360 nucleotides) under uncultured phototrophic eukaryote. Its description in RNAcentral is "SSU rRNA". It matches the Rfam family "Bacterial small subunit ribosomal RNA", at positions 524 to 896 of the family's 1533-position model. The record is from RNAcentral.